This 497-nucleotide ribosomal RNA is filed under the name uncultured bacterium. RNAcentral describes it as "partial 16S ribosomal RNA". It matches the Rfam family "Bacterial small subunit ribosomal RNA", at positions 28 to 507 of the family's 1533-position model. The record is from RNAcentral.
GAUGAACGCUGGCGGCGUGCCUAAUACAUGCAAGUCGAGCGAACAGACGAGGAGCUUGCUCCUCUUACGUUAGCGUCGGACGGGUGAGUAACACGUGGAUAACCUACCUAUAAGACUGGGAUAACUUCGGGAAACCGGAGCUAAUACCGGAUAAUAUAUUGAACCGCAUGGUUCAAUAGUGAAAGACGGUUUUGCUGUCACUUAUCGAUGGAUCCGCGCCGCAUUAGCUAGUUGGUAAGGUAACGGCUUACCAAGGCAACGAUGCGUAGCCGACCUGAGAGGGUGAUCGGCCACACUGGAACUGAGACACGGUCCAGACUCCUACGGGAGGCAGCAGUAGGGAAUCUUCCGCAAUGGGCGAAAGCUUGACGGAGCAACGCCGCGUGAGUGAUGAAGGUCUUCGGAUCGUAAAACUCUGUUAGUAGGGAAGAACAAAUGUGUAAGUAACUAUGCACGUCUUGACGGUACCUAAUCAGAAAGCCACGGCUAACUACGUG